Molecule: ribosomal RNA, 282 nt
Filed under: uncultured prokaryote
Description: partial 16S ribosomal RNA
Rfam family: Bacterial small subunit ribosomal RNA
Source: RNAcentral
CACGUAGGAGGCGAACGUUAUCCGGAUUUACUGGGCGUAAAGCGCGUGUAGGUGGUUUGUUAAGUAGGGCGUGAAAGCUCCCGGCUCAACUGGGAGAGGUCGCUCUAAACUGGCAAGCUAGAGGAUGGAAGAGGGAGGUGGAAUUCCGGGUGUAGCGGUGGAAUGCGCAGAUAUCCGGAGGAACACCAGUGGCGAAAGCGGCCUCCUGGUCCAUUCCUGACACUCAGACGCGAAAGCUAGGGUAGCAAACGGGAUUAGAUACCCCUGUAGUCCCUGAGCGGG